AUUCCAAGAUGCCCUGGAGUAAUGGAAGAGCCACCUACGGAUGUUAAUUCUGGAAAAACUCCGUGCUCAGCUCCCAGUCACCCGCUGGCAGUGAUUAAUGCCGAUGCUAAUGAUCAUGUUGUGAUCAGUCAUUAAUGAUGGAUGUUAAUAUCUGUUUUGCAUAAAAGCUCCGUGUGAUGUCCUGAGCAUCUCGAGGAUCUCAAGUUGAAUCACGGCUUUAUUAAAAAAUGAUCUCUCUCCGGUCAGGUGAAAUGUUUGGCGUCUGAGGUCACCCCCAGGGGAAGGGCUGCUCCUGCUGGGGGCACCGAAGGACCCCCACAUCCCUGGCCACCCCUCCCUCCUGCUGGGGUGAAGGAGGGGAGAUUUAGGGGAGAUUCAUCCAAUUCUGGGUGUGGGGGGCACUUCCAUCUGACUCCUGGUGGCACCAAGCCCCUGUUCCCCCGCUCUUGAUGUUUGGCUACGUCACGUUUUGAACAGCUGGUCCUGCUCCCAAGAAUUCACGGUGAACUCACCGCUUCUCCAGGCAAGGUCACCCCGAGGUCAACGGUCCUGCUCCCUCCAAGCUUAAUUACUAAUUGGCUUCAGCUGUGUUAAUGAUCUUCAGCCAGGCACUAAUUGAUUGAAACUUGAUCCAGCUGGGCACGAGUGGAUCAUCAACAGUCCUACUCCUUCCAAGCUUAAUUACUAAUUGGCUUCAACUGUGUUAACGAUCUUCUGCCAGGCACUAAUUGGUGAUUGAAACUCGAUCCAGCUGGGCACGAGUGGAUUGGUCAACGGUCCUACUCCCUCCAAGCUUAAUUACUAAUUGGCUUCAGCUGUGUUAACCAUCUUGGGCCAAGCACUAAUUGAUUGACACUCGAUCCAGCUGGGCACAAGUGGCUCGGUCAACGGCCAGGGGGGCUUGGGAGGAUCUGAGGGACAUUCCGGAGCCUGCGGAUAACAGGAUUCGGUUUUGUUUUGGUUCCAAAAAUAGCAGCGGCUCUGAAAGCAGAAACACGUGGGGAAAACAUGAACGCACAGGUCAGGCUGGAAACCCGACCCGCCGACAUCUGCUGAGCCCAGGGCAAGGAUUUGCUUCCCUCAGGAAUUCACCCCAUGUGCUCCUCCCAGCCCUGCAGGCGUUUUCCAUGGAUUUCAUGUUUCCUUGGCAUUCCUCCGGCUCCAGGGAUUAAAUUACGGUAGCAAACCCACAAGAAAACAGAGAUGCCACCAGACCAGCACGGAAUCCCAGAGAAACAAGGUCCCAGAGCGCCAAAUCCAACCUGUGCCUGAUGCCCAGCUCAGGGCACUGAGUGCCACCUCCAGGCU
Molecule: long non-coding RNA, 1308 nt
Filed under: Cyanistes caeruleus (blue tit)
Lineage: Eukaryota; Metazoa; Chordata; Aves; Passeriformes; Paridae
Description: lncRNA (ENSCCEG00000007781.1)
Source: RNAcentral